This 66-nucleotide transfer RNA is filed under the name Azygia hwangtsiyui. RNAcentral describes it as "tRNA-Met". The record is from RNAcentral. Lineage: Eukaryota; Metazoa; Platyhelminthes; Trematoda; Azygiida; Azygiidae.
GGGGGGGUAAGUUAAAGUCUAAACUGUGUGGUUCAUGCUCACAAAAUAUGUAUUUCGUCCCCCCCU